GGGUUGUGAGGUUAAGCGACUAAGCGUACACGGUGGAUGCCCUGGCAGUCAGAGGCGAUGAAGGACGUGCUAAUCUGCGAUAAGCGUCGGUAAGGUGAUAUGAACCGUUAUAACCGGCGAUUUCCGAAUGGGGAAACCCAGUGUGAUUCGUCACACUAUCAUUAACUGAAUCCAUAGGUUAAUGAGGCGAACCGGGGGAACUGAAACAUCUAAGUACCCCGAGGAAAAGAAAUCAACCGAGAUUCCCCCAGUAGCGGCGAGCGAACGGGGAGCAGCCCAGAGCCUGAAUCAGUGUGUGUGUUAGUGGAAGCGUCUGGAAAGGCGCGCGAUACAGGGUGACAGCCCCGUACACAAAAAUGCACAUACUGUGAGCUCGAUGAGUAGGGCGGGACACGUGGUAUCCUGUCUGAAUAUGGGGGGACCAUCCUCCAAGGCUAAAUACUCCUGACUGACCGAUAGUGAACCAGUACCGUGAGGGAAAGGCGAAAAGAACCCCGGCGAGGGGAGUGAAAAAGAACCUGAAACCGUGUACGUACAAGCAGUGGGAGCCUCUUAAUGGGGUGACUGCGUACCUUUUGUAUAAUGGGUCAGCGACUUAUAUUCUGUAGCAAGGUUAACCGAAUAGGGGAGCCGAAGGGAAACCGAGUCUUAACUGGGCGUUAAGUUGCAGGGUAUAGACCCGAAACCCGGUGAUCUAGCCAUGGGCAGGUUGAAGGUUGGGUAACACUAACUGGAGGACCGAACCGACUAAUGUUGAAAAAUUAGCGGAUGACUUGUGGCUGGGGGUGAAAGGCCAAUCAAACCGGGAGAUAGCUGGUUCUCCCCGAAAGCUAUUUAGGUAGCGCCUCGUGAAUUCAUCUCCGGGGGUAGAGCACUGUUUCGGCAAGGGGGUCAUCCCGACUUACCAACCCGAUGCAAACUGCGAAUACCGGAGAAUGUUAUCACGGGAGACACACGGCGGGUGCUAACGUCCGUCGUGAAGAGGGAAACAACCCAGACCGCCAGCUAAGGUCCCAAAGUCAUGGUUAAGUGGGAAACGAUGUGGGAAGGCCCAGACAGCCAGGAUGUUGGCUUAGAAGCAGCCAUCAUUUAAAGAAAGCGUAAUAGCUCACUGGUCGAGUCGGCCUGCGCGGAAGAUGUAACGGGGCUAAACCAUGCACCGAAGCUGCGGCAGCGACACUAUGUGUUGUUGGGUAGGGGAGCGUUCUGUAAGCCUGUGAAGGUGUACUGUGAGGUAUGCUGGAGGUAUCAGAAGUGCGAAUGCUGACAUAAGUAACGAUAAAGCGGGUGAAAAGCCCGCUCGCCGGAAGACCAAGGGUUCCUGUCCAACGUUAAUCGGGGCAGGGUGAGUCGACCCCUAAGGCGAGGCCGAAAGGCGUAGUCGAUGGGAAACAGGUUAAUAUUCCUGUACUUGGUGUUACUGCGAAGGGGGGACGGAGAAGGCUAUGUUGGCCGGGCGACGGUUGUCCCGGUUUAAGCGUGUAGGCUGGUUUUCCAGGCAAAUCCGGAAAAUCAAGGCUGAGGCGUGAUGACGAGGCACUACGGUGCUGAAGCAACAAAUGCCCUGCUUCCAGGAAAAGCCUCUAAGCAUCAGGUAACAUCAAAUCGUACCCCAAACCGACACAGGUGGUCAGGUAGAGAAUACCAAGGCGCUUGAGAGAACUCGGGUGAAGGAACUAGGCAAAAUGGUGCCGUAACUUCGGGAGAAGGCACGCUGAUAUGUAGGUGAAGUCCCUCGCGGAUGGAGCUGAAAUCAGUCGAAGAUACCAGCUGGCUGCAACUGUUUAUUAAAAACACAGCACUGUGCAAACACGAAAGUGGACGUAUACGGUGUGACGCCUGCCCGGUGCCGGAAGGUUAAUUGAUGGGGUUAGCGGUAACGCGAAGCUCUUGAUCGAAGCCCCGGUAAACGGCGGCCGUAACUAUAACGGUCCUAAGGUAGCGAAAUUCCUUGUCGGGUAAGUUCCGACCUGCACGAAUGGCGUAAUGAUGGCCAGGCUGUCUCCACCCGAGACUCAGUGAAAUUGAACUCGCUGUGAAGAUGCAGUGUACCCGCGGCAAGACGGAAAGACCCCGUGAACCUUUACUAUAGCUUGACACUGAACAUUGAGCCUUGAUGUGUAGGAUAGGUGGGAGGCUUUGAAGUGUGGACGCCAGUCUGCAUGGAGCCGGCCUUGAAAUACCACCCUUUAAUGUUUGAUGUUCUAACGUUGGCCCCUGAUCGGGGUUGCGGACAGUGUCUGGUGGGUAGUUUGACUGGGGCGGUCUCCUCCUAAAGAGUAACGGAGGAGCACGAAGGUUGGCUAAUCCUGGUCGGACAUCAGGAGGUUAGUGCAAUGGCAUAAGCCAGCUUGACUGCGAGCGUGACGGCGCGAGCAGGUGCGAAAGCAGGUCAUAGUGAUCCGGUGGUUCUGAAUGGAAGGGCCAUCGCUCAACGGAUAAAAGGUACUCCGGGGAUAACAGGCUGAUACCGCCCAAGAGUUCAUAUCGACGGCGGUGUUUGGCACCUCGAUGUCGGCUCAUCACAUCCUGGGGCUGAAGUAGGUCCCAAGGGUAUGGCUGUUCGCCAUUUAAAGUGGUACGCGAGCUGGGUUUAGAACGUCGUGAGACAGUUCGGUCCCUAUCUGCCGUGGGCGCUGGAGAACUGAGGGGGGCUGCUCCUAGUACGAGAGGACCGGAGUGGACGCAUCACUGGUGUUCGGGUUGUCAUGCCAAUGGCACUGCCCGGUAGCUAAAUGCGGAAGAGAUAAGUGCUGAAAGCAUCUAAGCACGAAACUUGCCCCGAGAUGAGUUCUCCCUGACUCCUUGAGAGUCCUGAAGGAACGUUGAAGACGACGACGUUGAUAGGCCGGGUGUGUAAGCGCAGCGAUGCGUUGAGCUAACCGGUACUAAUGAACCGUGAGGCUUAACCUUA
RNAcentral lists this ribosomal RNA (2914 nucleotides) under Escherichia coli. RNAcentral's name for it is "bacterial LSU rRNA". It matches the Rfam family "Bacterial large subunit ribosomal RNA". The record is from RNAcentral. Lineage: Bacteria; Pseudomonadati; Pseudomonadota; Gammaproteobacteria; Enterobacterales; Enterobacteriaceae.